UGCCCUCUCGGCUAAUGGUAGGCCACAAGAUUCUGGAUCUUGCUAUCAUGGUUCGAAUCCAUGGGGGGCAGCCA
RNAcentral lists this transfer RNA (74 nucleotides) under Candidatus Omnitrophica bacterium CG23_combo_of_CG06-09_8_20_14_all_40_11. RNAcentral describes it as "tRNA-Gln". It matches the Rfam family "tRNA". Rfam says of the family: Transfer RNA (tRNA) molecules are approximately 80 nucleotides in length. Their secondary structure includes four short double-helical elements and three loops (D, anti-codon, and T loops). Lineage: Bacteria; Pseudomonadati; Candidatus Omnitrophota. RNAcentral also lists the same sequence under 1 other name. The record is from RNAcentral.